This 455-nucleotide ribosomal RNA is filed under the name uncultured bacterium. RNAcentral's name for it is "bacterial SSU rRNA". It matches the Rfam family "Bacterial small subunit ribosomal RNA", at positions 93 to 568 of the family's 1533-position model. The record is from RNAcentral.
GAGUGGCGAACGGGUGAGUAACGCGUGAGGAACCUGCCUCAAAGAGGGGGACAACAGUUGGAAACGACUCUAAUACCGCAUAAGCCCACGGUGCCGCAUGGCACAGAGGGAAAAGGAGCAAUCCGCUUUGAGAUGGCCUCGCGUCCGAUUAGCUAGUUGGUGAGGUAAUGGCCCACCAAGGCGACGAUCGGUAGCCGGACUGAGAGGUUGAACGCCACAUUGGGACUGAGACACGGCCCAGACUCCUACGGGAGGCAGCAGUGGGGAAUAUUGCACAAUGGGGGAACCCUGAUGCAGCGACGCCGCGUGAGCGAAGAAGUAUUUCGGUAUGUAAAGCUCUAUCAGCAGGGAAGAAGAUGACGGUACCUGACUAAGAAGCACCGGCUAAAUACGUGCCUGCAGCCGCGGUAAUACGUAUGGUGCAAGCGUAUCCGGAUUUACUGGGUGUAAAGGGA